GAUGAACGCUGGCGGCGUGCCUAAUACAUGCAAGUCGAGCGAACAGACGAGGAGCUUGCUCCUCUGACGUUAGCGGCGGACGGGUGAGUAACACGUGGAUAACCUACCUAUAAGACUGGGAUAACUUCGGGAAACCGGAGCUAAUACCGGAUAAUAUAUUGAACCGCAUGGUUCAAUAGUGAAAUACGGUUUUGCUGUCACUUAUAGAUGGAUCCGCGCCGCAUUAGCUAGUUGGUAAGGUAACGGCUUACCAAGGCAACGAUUCGUAGCCGACCUGAGAGGGUGAUCGGCCACACUGGAACUGAGACACGGUCCAGACUCCUACGGGAGGCAGCAGUAGGGAAUCUUCCGCAAUGGGCGAAAGCUUGACGGAGCAACGCCGCGUGAGUGAUGAAGGUCUUCGGAUCGUAAAACUCUGUUAUUAGGGAAGAACAAAUGUGUAAGUAACUAUGCACGUCUUGACGGUACCUAAUCAGAAAGCCACGGCUAACUACGUG
RNAcentral lists this ribosomal RNA (497 nucleotides) under uncultured bacterium. RNAcentral's name for it is "partial 16S ribosomal RNA". It matches the Rfam family "Bacterial small subunit ribosomal RNA", at positions 28 to 507 of the family's 1533-position model. The record is from RNAcentral.